Long non-coding RNA from Pezoporus flaviventris, 1144 nucleotides. RefSeq lists it as uncharacterized. The transcript has 2 exons. The record is from RefSeq and is a predicted model, not a curated record. Lineage: Eukaryota; Metazoa; Chordata; Aves; Psittaciformes; Psittacidae.
ACUGCACCUUCAAUGAUGCUGUCUACCUCUUUGUAAGAAGUUUCCACACAAAGAUGUCCUUUGUCAUGUGUAUCAGGGAAAGGGUAAAACUGUAGCUUGUCUUCCUGCUUGGACAAAGGCUUGCUUUCUGUUAUUAAUAUGGAAAAUAAUGGUGGAAAAAAAAUGGUUGUUUGGAGGAAUAGGCUAAAACUGCUCCCAGAAACUACCAGUUCAUCCGGUACGCAUCAUUCUUCCUGUGCAAUUUAAAACUUAAAAGGCAUGCAGAAGUCUUAUAUAGGGAGUGGUUUUGAAAAUUCCUUGACACUUGAUACCGUUGACUUUGUUUCCAAAUAAAAAAAAGCAACAGCCUUCAAAAAUAGUAAGCGGUUGGGGUUAAGUAACCACCACUGCUGGAAAUCUUUAGCAUAAUUCAUGCAAUUUUGGAGCUUUGUCCAAAGUAGAAAAGCCCAGGCUAAUGUAAGACCAAAAACGACAGGCUCUACACUGUCUCACUGCAUGUUUUCACCCACUCACUUUAUACAGUGUCCUGGUUUCAGCUGUAACAGGUGUAGGUUUUUUUCUCCUUCCUAGUGGGUGAUACAGUGCUGGGUUUCAGCUUCAGUCUGGGCAUAACGCUGAUAGCAACAGCUGGAACAUCAGUGUUUUCAGUAAUCCCUCAAACUCCUCCAGGGAGGAGGGUCACAAGAAGGCUGGAGGAAGCAGAGACAGGACACCUGACCUGGUGUAGCCAAAGGGCUAUUCCAUGCCACAGCAAAUCAUGCCCAGUAUAGAAAUUGGCAGAGUCCCUUGGAAGGGACGAUCGCUCCUUGAGCCAGGCUGGGUAUUGGUCAGUGGGUGCUAAGCAAUUCUAUUGUGCAUCACCUGUGUUUACUGAUGUUUUUCCUUUCCCCUUUUAGUUUCGUAUACUCUCUCCUUGUUAUUUAUUAAACUCUUCUUAUCUCAACGCAUGGGGUUUACAUUUAUCCAAUUUUUCUGCCAGGAGGAGGGGGGGAGGUGGAGGGUUUUGCUGCGUGGUGCUUAUUUACUGGCCUGGCUUAAACUGCGACUCACAACACCUGCUGUGUGUGAGAAACUUCCACCCACUGGUAGAAGUACAGAUGUUCACAGAAUCAUGGAAUCAACUCGGUUGUAAAAGACCUUUAAG